CCUACGGGUGGCAGCAGUGAGGAAUAUUGGUCAAUGGACGAGAGUCUGAACCAGCCAAGUAGCGUGAAGGAUGACUGCCCUAUGGGUUGUAAACUUCUUUUAUAAAGGAAUAACACGAGUUACGUGUGCCUUUUUGCAUGUACUUUAUGAAUAAGGAUCGGCUAACUCCGUGCCAGCAGCCGCGGUAAUACGGAGGAUCCGAGCGUUAUCCGGAUUUAUUGGGUUUAAAGGGAGCGUAGGUGGGUUGUUAAGUCAGUUGUGAAAGUUUGCGGCUCAACCGGAAAAUUGCAAUUGAUACUGGCAGUGUUGAGGACAGUUGAGGGAGGGGGGAUUCGGGGUGGAGCGGUGAAAAGCUUA
This 357-nucleotide ribosomal RNA is filed under the name uncultured bacterium. RNAcentral describes it as "partial 16S ribosomal RNA". It matches the Rfam family "Bacterial small subunit ribosomal RNA", at positions 338 to 692 of the family's 1533-position model. The record is from RNAcentral.